This 445-nucleotide ribosomal RNA is filed under the name uncultured bacterium. RNAcentral describes it as "partial 16S ribosomal RNA". It matches the Rfam family "Bacterial small subunit ribosomal RNA", at positions 354 to 796 of the family's 1533-position model. The record is from RNAcentral.
GUGAGGAAUAUUGGUCAAUGGGCGGGAGCCUGAACCAGCCAAGUCGCGUGAAGGAAGAAGGAUCUAUGGUUCGUAAACUUCUUUUGCAGGGGAAUAAAGUGCAGGACGUGUCCUGUUUUGUAUGUACCCUGAGAAUAAGGAUCGGCUAACUCCGUGCCAGCAGCCGCGGUAAUACGGAGGAUCCGAGCGUUAUCCGGAUUUAUUGGGUUUAAAGGGUGCGUAGGUGGUUUGAUAAGUCAGCGGUGAAAGUUUGCAGCUUAACUGUAAAAAUGCCGUUGAAACUGUCGGACUUGAGUGUAAAUGAGGUAGGCGGGAUGCGUGGUGUAGCGGUGAAAUGCAUAGAUAUCACGCAGAACUCCGAUUGCGAAGGCAGCUUACUAAGCUACAACUGACACUGAAGCACGAAAGCGUGGGGAUCAAACAGGAUUAGAAACCCGAGUAGUCC